UGGGGAAUUUUGGACAAUGGGCGCAAGCCUGAUCCAGCCAUGCCGCGUGCGGGAAGAAGGCCUUCGGGUUGUAAACCGCUUUUUGCAGGGAAGAAAAUCUUUCUGAGUUAAUACCUCGGGAGGAUGACGGUACUGAAGAAUAAGCACCGGCUAACUACGUGCCAGCAGCCGCGGUAAUACGUAGGGUGCAAGCGUUAAAUCGGAAUUACUGGGCGUAAAAGCGUGCGCAGGCGGUUUUGUAAGACAGAGGUGAAAUCCCCGGGCUCAACCUGGGAACUGCCUUUGUGACUGCAAGGCUUGAGUGCGGCAGAGGGGGGAUGGAAUUCCGCGUGUAGCAGUGAAAUGCGUAGAUAUGCGGAGGAAACACCGAUGGCGAAGGCAAUCCCCUGGGCCUGCACUGACGCUCAUGCACGAAAAGCGUGGGGAGCAAAACAGGAUUAGAUACCCUGGUAGUCCACGCCCUAAAACGAUGUCAACUGGUUGUUGGGAAAGGGUUCCUUCUCAGUAACGUAGCUAAACGCGUGAAA
RNAcentral lists this ribosomal RNA (527 nucleotides) under uncultured bacterium. Its description in RNAcentral is "partial 16S ribosomal RNA". It matches the Rfam family "Bacterial small subunit ribosomal RNA", at positions 355 to 864 of the family's 1533-position model. The record is from RNAcentral.